AGGCUCAGGACGAACGCUGGCGGCGUGCUUAACACAUGCAAGUCGAACGGUAAGGCCCCUUCGGGGGUACACGAGUGGCGAACGGGUGAGUAACACGUGGGUAAUCUGCCCUGCACUUCGGGAUAAGCCUGGGAAACUGGGUCUAAUACCGGAUAUGAACUCCUGCCGCAUGGUGGGGGUUGGAAAGUUUUUCGGUGCAGGAUGAGCCCGCGGCCUAUCAGCUUGUUGGUGGGGUAAUGGCCUACCAAGGCGACGACGGGUAGCCGGCCUGAGAGGGUGAUCGGCCACACUGGGACUGAGACACGGCCCAGACUCCUACGGGAGGCAGCAGUGGGGAAUAUUGCACAAUGGGCGAAAGCCUGAUGCAGCGACGCCGCGUGGGGGAUGACGGUCUUCGGAUUGUAAACCCCUUUCAGUAGGGACGAAGCGCAAGUGACGGUACCUGCAGAAGAAGCACCGGCUAACUACGUGCCAGCAGCCGCGGUAAUACGUAGGGUGCGAGCGUUGUCCGGAAUUACUGGGCGUAAAGAGCUCGUAGGCGGUUUGUCACGUCGUCUGUGAAAUCCCUCGGCUUAACCGGGGGCGUGCAGGCGAUACGGGCAGACUUGAGUACUACAGGGGAGACUGGAAUUCCUGGUGUAGCGGUGAAAUGCGCAGAUAUCAGGAGGAACACCGGUGGCGAAGGCGGGUCUCUGGGUAGUAACUGACGCUGAGGAGCGAA
This 721-nucleotide ribosomal RNA is filed under the name Dietzia sp. VS3-2. Its description in RNAcentral is "bacterial SSU rRNA". It matches the Rfam family "Bacterial small subunit ribosomal RNA", at positions 20 to 757 of the family's 1533-position model. Lineage: Bacteria; Bacillati; Actinomycetota; Actinomycetes; Mycobacteriales; Dietziaceae. The record is from RNAcentral.